UCAAGUUGUUUGGGAUUGCAGCUUAAAAUGGGAGGUAAAUUUCUCCUAAGGCUAAAUAACGGCGAGAGACCGAUAGCGAACAAGUACCGUGAGGGAAAGAUGAAAAGAACUUUGAAAAGAGAGUUAAACAGUACGUGAAAUUGUUGAAAGGGAAACGAUUGAAGCCAGUCGUACCUUCGGGUAAUCAGCCUUUCGGGUGCGAUUCUGUGGAGUGUGAGGAGCUUAAACACCUUCAUGUUUUGCAUAUUCGUACUCUUGGGUGUACUUGCCCGUAUGGUUGGUUAACAUCAAUUUUGGUGGUCAUAAAAUGACUGGAGGAAUGUAGCUUCGAUCUCGUAUUGAAGUAUUAUAGCCUUCGGUAGAUGUGAUGAUCGAGAUUGAGGAUUGCAACGGAUACCCUUUGGGGCUACCUGUCUGAUCUCUGAUCGUUGCUCUGGUACCGAAAGCUUGCUUACGGUUAUCAAAGUCGAUGGUCAAUAGGUUAGAACGGGUUAAAUUCGUUAAGGAUGUUGACGUAAUGG
Molecule: ribosomal RNA, 521 nt
Filed under: Glomus sp. CMCCROC4
Lineage: Eukaryota; Fungi; Glomeromycota; Glomeromycetes; Glomerales; Glomeraceae
Description: eukaryotic LSU rRNA
Rfam family: Eukaryotic large subunit ribosomal RNA
Source: RNAcentral